Molecule: ribosomal RNA, 158 nt
Filed under: Draba nemorosa
Lineage: Eukaryota; Viridiplantae; Streptophyta; Magnoliopsida; Brassicales; Brassicaceae
Description: 5.8S ribosomal RNA
Rfam family: 5.8S ribosomal RNA
About the family: 5.8S ribosomal RNA (5.8S rRNA) is a component of the large subunit of the eukaryotic ribosome. It is transcribed by RNA polymerase I as part of the 45S precursor that also contains 18S and 28S rRNA.
Source: RNAcentral
ACGACUCUCGGCAACGGAUAUCUCGGCUCUCGCAUCGAUGAAGAACGUAGCGAAAUGCGAUACUUGGUGUGAAUUGCAGAAUCCCGUGAACCAUCGAGUCUUUGAACGCAAGUUGCGCCCCAAGCCUUUAGGCCGAGGGCACGUCUGCCUGGGUGUCA